Molecule: ribosomal RNA, 945 nt
Filed under: Triticum aestivum (bread wheat)
Lineage: Eukaryota; Viridiplantae; Streptophyta; Magnoliopsida; Poales; Poaceae
Description: partial small subunit ribosomal RNA
Source: RNAcentral
AUGGUGAAGCGCAGCCCGCUGCCGCCCCCGCCGUUGGAGAUGAGGCCGUGGAGGCUCCUGCUCCGCCCGGCGUCCUCGGACGAGGGGGACGACACGGGGGAAGGGGACGCCGGGGUGGCGUUUCCCCUGGGCUUGAUCUUGAUGAUGGGGUUGGGGCUGGCGUCGGGGACCCCGCCGCCGGCGAGGUCGUGGAGGAGCGGGAAGAAGGGCCACUUGGGGCCCUUGGAGCGCCCCAUGGAGCGCGUCCGCUCGGCGCGGUACCGCUUGCGGAGCUUCUCGAUCUUGUGGCGGCACUGCACGCCGGACUUGUAGGUGGCGGUGGGGAACCUCCCGCAGCGGGCGGUGACGGCGCCGGCGACCUCGUCCCAGUCUGCCGCCCGCAGGUUGCCCUUCUUGAGCGCCUCCCACUUGUCACGGUACGCCUCGAUUAGCGCGAGGGUCUCCUCGUGCGUCCAGCACGGCGGGGGCAGCCUCCUCCCGGAGCCGCCGCCCGCCCCUACCCCUCCCCCUCCGCCGCCGGACGAAGCGGCGGCCGCGGCCGCGGCGGCCGCCGCCGCGAUGCCUGGCGCGGCCAGCGGGGGGAGCUCCGGCGAGGAGGGGACGUCGUCCUGCUUGAGCGACGAGGAGGAGGACAUGGUCGCAGCACGGCGGCUAGGGUUUGGUGGUGGUGGUGGAGAUGGGGAACGGAGGAGGAGGAGGUGGAGAACCGGUCAUAUAAGGAGGCGCGGUGCGGUGGAGGUGGGCCGCGGGCGCCCGCCCGCUGGCGGGCGUGGGUGGGGUGGGCCGCGCGGUGAAAGGAACGACCGGCUGUGGAGGGGCAGCGGCCGCGGCAGCCGCGUGGGGCGUGGCGGUGCGGUGCGAGAUGCGGUGGUGGUUUUUGCUUGGAGCGGGGUUUGUCGCGUCGCGGGCGGGGCGGCGGGUGGGCGGGCGGUAAGGGGUGGGUAA